UACAAUUCGUAUGACAGAGGAGAUGACAGAAGUUAGUGCUUUGGUGCUCACCAGCACGAUGCUGAAAGGCACAUUUCUCCCCAUCUAUUGCUUCUCUUCCAACGUGAUCGACUGUAGGAUGUUGAGAAAACUCUCAACCUGAGGUCAAACGUUAAGCAAGAUAGUCGGAUGUUGGCCAGACUCCAAACUGACACAUUUGAGUGGAAAUCACACGGCAGAGCUCAACCCUUUGACCGCAAAUGCUUCUCUACCUUCCACCGAAAGAAGUCGAAAGAGGAGGAGGUGCUACGUUUAGGAGAAAUCAGUGUGAUCGAUAGAUGUGUCUAUUAACAUUCGAUCUAAAUGGAGUGAAUUCAUGUGUUCCGAGAGGAUGACAGCGUGAGUUUGAUCGUGCGUCAUAAAGAAUUCCAGAUUCCCUUCGUGUUACAGAAUAAUCUUUAUAGAACAAAAAGGUCAGUAUAUGUUCUACGGAUUGCUUUGUUUUCACCUGUUACUGUAAGCAAAGAAAAGAAAGAAAAAGAUCUCUCUCCAUUAUCAUCUCCCUCCCUCCUCUCUUUUUUUGCCUCCUUCAGUUGUUGGUAGGAUGCUUGGCUGUUUGUGGCAGGAAUCCAGUUCUCUCCUCAGUGGGACACGAGGUGGGCCAAACGAGAACUUCCAUCUCCUUUUUCCAUGUCUUCUUCUCAUCCUUUUCCUCACCCCAUUCGGUAGUGCCUUGUAUUAUUGCGAGCACAUCUGCAAGCAGAUGUUUCUUUCACCCACCCUGCCUUUUCCCCACCUUCCGCACGACCCAACAAGCCUAGCCAAUGUGGACAUUUCUGCUGGUAUCUGAGCUUUUGGUCCUACUUCAAUCCGCUAAACUUUUAUGCUUGUCUAAGUAGAUCCAGGAAUCAGAAGAAGGUGUAGCUCCGAAGGAAGCCGAUGCAGAAUCUAAGCAAAAGAAGACUCACCAAGCCAUCAUAUCUAAGCCAAGAUUACUAAUUUCUAGUGUUACAUCAGCAAGGACGCACUCCUGAGUUCCUCUUCACCAUCUUCCUUCUACUCUGCAAAAUUGCAGUUGCUCGAUUUGCUUCUCUAAGAGGUCUCAUGGAAGUUCAGAGAUCGAGACAGCGCAGCAGGGUUGGCAUGCAGCAGUGAUGGUGCCACCAGCACAUGGUUCUUGACGUCUACCUUCGGAUGGAAGGCCCUGAGAAGCCCUCCAUUGCUAACCGCAUUGUUCUUGCUGCGCUUGACGCCCACCAUGGUCCAUAUGGAGCUCCUUGCAGCUUCUUCAGGGUCAUCAAUCCUCAGCGUCGUCGGAGCCAAACCGCCGUCUUCUUCCGUCGAUAGACUGCUAUUGUUCAGAUUGCUUCCAUCCCUCGAGUGCUUGCCUAAGUUGCCAGUAUUGGGUGCUGCCGCUGGGUGAGAGGAAGCUAAGGGGGACAGCCAUGGAACGCUCCAAGCUCCGGAUGGAACAGCGCAACUCCAAUAAGCCGCAGCAGGAUAGAACGGGAUCGGAAAGCUGAGAGGAGCUGCUGGUGUCCAAGGAUACGGCCACGGGGAUCCACCGAAACAUGGAAUUGGAGCAGCUGAUCCCUGAUAAUUCUGGCCACCAUUUUCGUUCGGACUAAGCAUGGAUGUCUCAGACGAAGGUAGCGGUUUUGCCUUCGCCGGCGCAUCCGUGCCAAAGCUGAGUACCGUGCCAUUUGGCUUCGGAGGGUAACGAACUGAUUCAGGUGCAUUACAUCGAACGGACUGGAGGGAGGACUCCGACACGGCGAUGUGCCGGAAGUGACAAGUGCUCUUGCUCUUGCGUCGACCAGCUCCAACGGGGACGUUCCUCAUGGUGCCACCGGCGGUCCAAUACCUUUGGCAGUUCUUGCAGAAGUGCCUCGGCUGGUUGACGUUGUAGUUGUUGUAGUAGCAGAACUUGGUGUCCAAGCUUUUGCACCGAGGACAAGGGAGGAUCUUGUCCGGCUUCUUCACAGCCUUGUCUUUCGAGUGUUCUUCCGCCACCGAGUUCUUGGUCGACGCAUCCUUUUGAUCAGCGGAAGCUGGUUUAUCCAUCUCGCUCGUCGAUGUAGUACACUCAUUCUUGUCCUGUGAUCGAGCAGCAGUAUCUUCCACUUGAAGAUCCUGAGAUCGAAACGCAAAGAAUGGGUGAAUUCUUCUCACCAACCAUAGAUUUCAGCUGCCUCAUAUGAUCUCAAGAUAGAAUCGAUGAGCUAAGCACUUCAAGAAAGAACGAUUGGUGAUGCUAAGGUGGACAUAGCUGACAAUCACAGUUGGCACACCAAGAAAGAAGACGAGCUAAAUUCUCCCAUUUCUAACUCUCUCGUGGUCAGAGAAAAUACAGUAUAUAAGACAAAAGGAAGAAAUUUGAAGCUGGAAAUCCAACGCAAAUCUAUAAAUAGUGGUGGGUUUGCUUUGCUUUCAUUAGUAGUGUAUGGAGGCAAUAUUGUUCUUUCUGGAGUUGUCUAGAUAAGCUGAUGAUUCUUGCACAUUA
Long non-coding RNA from Musa acuminata AAA Group (dessert banana), 2482 nucleotides. RefSeq lists it as uncharacterized. The record is from RefSeq and is a predicted model, not a curated record. The transcript has 2 exons. NCBI's taxonomy places the organism in Eukaryota, Viridiplantae, Streptophyta, Magnoliopsida, Zingiberales, Musaceae.